RNAcentral lists this ribosomal RNA (254 nucleotides) under uncultured bacterium. Its description in RNAcentral is "partial 16S ribosomal RNA". It matches the Rfam family "Bacterial small subunit ribosomal RNA", at positions 524 to 776 of the family's 1533-position model. The record is from RNAcentral.
UACGUAGGCAGCGAGCGUUGUUCGGAAUUACUGGGCGUAAAGAGUGUGUAGGCGGUGUUCCCAGUCUGUUGUGAAAUCUCCCGGCUUAACUGGGAGGGUGCAGCGGAAACUAGAAUGCUAGAGGGUGGGAGAGGUAAGCGGAAUUCCUGGUGUAGCGGUGAAAUGCGUAGAUAUCAGGAGGAACACCUGUGGUGUAGACAGCUUACUGGGACCACUUCUGACGCUGAGACACGAAAGCGUGGGUAGCAAACAGG